Molecule: ribosomal RNA, 388 nt
Filed under: Tiarinia spinigera
Lineage: Eukaryota; Metazoa; Arthropoda; Malacostraca; Decapoda; Mithracidae
Description: partial 16S ribosomal RNA
Rfam family: Bacterial large subunit ribosomal RNA (bases 263-388)
Source: RNAcentral
CAAAAAAAAUUCUGUCUCUUAAAAAAUAAUUGAAUUUAACUUUUAAGUGAAAAGGCUUAAAUUUUUUAAAGGGACGAUAAGACCCUAUAAAGUUUAAUAAGAAUUCUUUUAUAAAAGAAAAAGUUAUAAAUUUAUAAAAUUAAAAUUUUUAUUUUACUGGGGCGGUACAGAUAUAAGUAAGUUAAAAACUGUCAGAAUAAUAAACAUUAAUAAAUGAAUAUAAUGAUCCUAAAUAAAGAUUAUAAAAACAAGUUACUUUAGGGAUAACAGCUUAAUUUUUUUUAAGAGUUCAUAUCGAAAAAAAAGUUUGAGACCUCGAUGUUGAAUUAAAAUAACUCUUUGUAGUGCAGCAGCUACAAGUAGAGGGUCUGUUCGACCCUUUAAAUAA